ACUCCUACGGGAGGCAGCAGUAGGGAAUCUUCCGCAAUGGACGAAAGUCUGACGGAGCAACGCCGCGUGAGCGAAGAAGGCCUUCGGGUCGUAAAGCUCUGUUGUUAGGGAAGAACAAGUAACGCAGUAACUGGCGUUACCGUGACGGUACCUAACGAGAAAGCCACGGCUAACUACGUGCCAGCAGCCGCGGUAAUACA
RNAcentral lists this ribosomal RNA (200 nucleotides) under uncultured Anoxybacillus sp. Its description in RNAcentral is "partial 16S ribosomal RNA". It matches the Rfam family "Bacterial small subunit ribosomal RNA", at positions 335 to 527 of the family's 1533-position model. Lineage: Bacteria; Bacillati; Bacillota; Bacilli; Caryophanales; Anoxybacillaceae. The record is from RNAcentral.